RNAcentral lists this ribosomal RNA (248 nucleotides) under uncultured bacterium. RNAcentral's name for it is "partial 16S ribosomal RNA". It matches the Rfam family "Bacterial small subunit ribosomal RNA", at positions 337 to 577 of the family's 1533-position model. The record is from RNAcentral.
UCCUACGGGAGGCAGCAGUAGGGAAUUUUCGUCAAUGGGCGCAAGCCUGAACGAGCGAUGCCGCGUGAGUGAAGAAGGCCUUCGGGUCGUAAAGCUCUGUUGCGGGGGAAAAAAGGCAGCAUCAGGAAAUGGGUGCUGACUGAUGGUGCCCCGCCAGAAAGUCACGACUAACUACGUGCCAGCAGCCGCGGUAAUACGUAGGUGGCGAGCGUUAUCCGGAAUGAUUGGGCGUAAAGGGUGCGCAGGCG